CUCUUCGGAGUCCCUAGCAUCAAAUCAUAUCCAUAACACCUGUGAACUGUAAGGCUGUCUUGAAAACGAGAGUGAUUAGAGCGCCUGCCCAUUUUAUACAAACAUUAAAGUAACAAACGUAGUCUUAUUAUAACCUAAUAAAACUUUCAACAACGGAUCUCUUGGCUCUCGCAUCGAUGAAGAACGCAGCGAAAUGCGAUACGUAAUGUGAAUUGCAGAAUUCAGUGAAUCAUCGAAUCUUUGAACGCACCUUGCGCCCCUUGGCAUUCCGAGGGGCACACCCGUUUGAGUGUCGUGAAAUUCUCAAAAACCUUUUUCUUUUUGGGAAAGGGUUUUUGGACUUGGAGGCUUUUUGCUGGCUUCACCUUGAAGUGAGCUCCUCCUAAAUGAAUCAGUGGGGUCCGCUUUGCCGAUCCUUGACGUGAUAAGAUGUUUCUGCGUCUUUGGGUUUGGCACUGUCACCUGCUUCUAACUGUCUCAUUGACAAUGAUGGUGCUCCGGUCACCACCGCUCUUAUCGGUGGGAGGCUUGACCCACAAAAACAAAACCUUGACCUCAAAUCGGGUGAGACUACCCGCUGAACUUAAGCAUAUCAAUAAGCGGAGGAAAAGAAACUAACAAGGAUUCCCCUAGUAACUGCGAGUGAAGCGGGAAAAGCUCAAAUUUAA
This 668-nucleotide ribosomal RNA is filed under the name uncultured fungus. RNAcentral describes it as "eukaryotic LSU rRNA". The stretch from base 142 to 295 matches the Rfam family "5.8S ribosomal RNA". The record is from RNAcentral. Lineage: Eukaryota; Fungi.